GAUGAACGCUGGCGGCGUGCCUAAUACAUGCAAGUCGAGCGAACGGACGAGAAGCUUGCUUCUCUGAUGUUAGCGGCGGACGGGUGAGUAACACGUGGAUAACCUACCUAUAAGACUGGGAUAACUUCGGGAAACCGGAGCUAAUACCGGAUAAUAUUUUGAACCGCAUGGUUCAAAAGUGAAAGACGGUCUUGCUGUCACUUAUAGAUGGAUCCGCGCUGCAUUAGCUAGUUGGUAAGGUAACGGCUUACCAAGGCAACGAUGCAUAGCCGACCUGAGAGGGUGAUCGGCCACACUGGAACUUAGACACGGUCCAGACUCCUACGGGAGGCAGCAGUAGGGAAUCUUCCGCAAUGGGCGAAAGCCUGACGGAGCAACGCCGCGUGAGUUAUGAAGGUCUUCGGAUCGUAAAACUCUGUUAUUAGGGAAGAACAUAUGUGUAAGUAACUGUGCACAUCUUGACGGUACCUAAUCAGAAAGCCACGGCUAACUACGUG
This 497-nucleotide ribosomal RNA is filed under the name uncultured bacterium. RNAcentral's name for it is "partial 16S ribosomal RNA". It matches the Rfam family "Bacterial small subunit ribosomal RNA", at positions 28 to 507 of the family's 1533-position model. The record is from RNAcentral.